UCGGGUAUAGCUCAGUGGUCAAAGUGUUGGACUCGUAAUUUGAAGGCCCGGGUUCGAGUCCUGUAUUUUUUUUUGUU
This 77-nucleotide transfer RNA is filed under the name Rhamnusium bicolor. Its description in RNAcentral is "tRNA-OTHER". The stretch from base 6 to 65 matches the Rfam family "tRNA", at positions 6 to 65 of the family's 71-position model. From Rfam's summary of the family: Transfer RNA (tRNA) molecules are approximately 80 nucleotides in length. Their secondary structure includes four short double-helical elements and three loops (D, anti-codon, and T loops). Lineage: Eukaryota; Metazoa; Arthropoda; Insecta; Coleoptera; Cerambycidae. The record is from RNAcentral.